Molecule: ribosomal RNA, 271 nt
Filed under: uncultured prokaryote
Description: partial 16S ribosomal RNA
Rfam family: Bacterial small subunit ribosomal RNA
Source: RNAcentral
UACGUAGGUGGCGAGCGUUGUCCGGAUUUACUGGGCGUAAAGGGAGCGUAGGCGGACUUUUAAGUGAGAUGUGAAAUACCCGGGCUCAACUUGGGUGCUGCAUUUCAAACUGAAAGUCUAGAGUGCAGGAGAGGAGAAUGGAAUUCCUAGUGUAGCGGUGAAAUGCGUAGAGAUUAGGAAGAACACCAGUGGCGAAGGCGAUUCUCUGGACUGUAACUGACGCUGAGGCUCGAAAGCGUGGGGAGCAAACAGGAUUAGAUACCCGGGUAGU